AAUACGAAUGAAUUUUUAUUUUUCAAUACACAAUAAGCUUUAUUAAUGUUUUUGUAUUUUUAUAUCCAUCUGAUUUACUAAUGAAUUGUUUUGAUUAUUUAUCAUUGAUUAUUAAUCAUUAAAUCAUUAUUUAAUUAAUUUAAAAUAAUAAGCAGAAAUAGUGGGAAUAAGAAAUAUGGCUUUCAAGCAUUAACAGAUAAGAAUAUAACCUAUAAUUUUUCAUAUUGUAAACAAAGGUAGAACAAUAUUGUAAAUAUGGUAUAACGCAGCGCACAAUACCAUUAUAUACCUUUAGAUAUACAAAAUAAAUAAGAUAAUUAUGAUAACUUUAAUGCUCUGAUAUUACCAAACCAAAAAAGGAAUACCAAAAAGAAAGAAAAGAAGAUAUCAGUAACGCAUAUAUUAUCUAAAAAGCAUAGAAAGCCAAUUAGAAAAAAUUGUAGAAAAAAAGAAAACAAAAUUACAAAGAUCAACGUUACUAGAAGAAUAAGCUAAAGUACAAGCUCUAGACGAAGAACUAAAGAAAUAUAUUCCUUGACUACAGUUCAAACAAAAGAAUCGAAACGUCACUUUAGAGAAUAAACCGCACCUACUACAGAAGCUUUAAUUAAUCCAAUCGAUGAGUGCGCUAUAAAUAAUACAGAAUCUAAAUUAAACACGAUUAAAGGUAUAAAAAGAAAAAGACUGUCUAUACUUAACAACAUAAAACAGAAGUUCUCUAACUCACAUACAUUUACUGAUACUUUGACUCAGAGCCACUAGAAACGAUUGCGGCAAGCAUAAUUGUGUUAUGGAAAAGAGAUUCUUAAAUUAAUUGUUUACUGAACAUUGGAGAAAAAAUAAUGAUUAAUGAAGAGCUUAUGCAUAUCGACGAAAAUGCGUUCCACGAAGUCGAAGGUAAUAGUUACGAGGACAAAAAUUAUAAGCGAAAAAGGGAGCUUGCGCUUACAUUCUCCAUUUUUCGAAAAUUAAAACAGUAACACUUUCUCGCGAACAUCACACUUGAAGAAGUAGAAAUAACAUAUUAAAUUGAGAGAAAUGAUGAUUGAUAAAAAUGCUUUUAUCAAUUCAUAGCCGUUUGCUCAUUUCGAGGAAGUUCAAACAAGUGAUCAGCCGAUAAGUAUUUUUUAAUGUCACAUAUUGUAUCGACAUUAUUAAAAAGGAAAAGAAAUAAAAGGAAGGAAUUUAAUUCCAUAAUACGUAUUUGACCUGGCCAAAUCUAAACAAAACGUCUCAAAGACGUUUUACGGCUGAUCGAGUUAAACGUGACAUAGUACACUAAAUUUCCUUCACCGCAUUUGUAGACAUACUUUCUGAGAAAAAUUAGAAAAGUACUUUUCACAAUGUGUUCAAAGAGAAAAACGUAUUGAACCGACGUAGGGAUGCAAAAGAUGCAAAGUUUCAUUACAUGUAUCAACAUGUUUUGAAAGAUACUAUACAAUCGAAGCGUUAAGCUAAUCCGUUACCAAUAGCGCACAUUAAAUUCUAAAACAAAAGGAAAUAUUGUAAAUACGUUCGCGAAGUUUCUUCCCUCGUUUUCUCGAAAAUGGUUGGGUGUAUGCUUUUACUCUUAGAGUCAAAGGUAUAGUCUUAAUGGACCCCUAAAACUAUGAAAAGUUUAAAAAAUAUCAGAGUUAAAUUCCUUUGGUGUAGCCCUUGUAAGUUACAUAAAUGAUAAUUUUCACACAUUUUUUAAAGAUUUAUUCAAAAAUCAAAUUGUAUCACAAUGUACAAGUUUUAAUUUUGGAUAUAAAUAAUUGUUAUAAUAUUU
This is a long non-coding RNA of Polistes canadensis, 1771 nucleotides long. RefSeq lists it as uncharacterized. The transcript is spliced from 3 exons. NCBI's taxonomy places the organism in Eukaryota, Metazoa, Arthropoda, Insecta, Hymenoptera, Vespidae. The record is from RefSeq and is a predicted model, not a curated record.